Schistosoma mattheei is the source of this 45-nucleotide non-coding RNA. The record is from Rfam. Lineage: Eukaryota; Metazoa; Platyhelminthes; Trematoda; Strigeidida; Schistosomatidae.
AUCCAGCUGGCGCAUCCCAAAUAGGACGAAACAGGCGUCCUGGAU